This 496-nucleotide ribosomal RNA is filed under the name uncultured bacterium. Its description in RNAcentral is "partial 16S ribosomal RNA". It matches the Rfam family "Bacterial small subunit ribosomal RNA", at positions 28 to 506 of the family's 1533-position model. The record is from RNAcentral.
GAUGAACGCUGGCGGCGUGCCUAAUACAUGCAAGUCGAGCGAACAGACGAGGAGCUUGCUCCUCUGACGUUAGCGGCGGACGGGUGAGUAACACGUGGAUAACCUACCUAUAAGACUGGGAUAACUUCGGGAAACCGGAGCUAAUACCGGAUAAUAUAUUGAACCGCAUGGUUCAAUAGUGAAAGACGGUUUUGCUGUCACUUAUAGAUGUAUCCGCGCCGCAUUAGCUAGUUGGUAAGGUAACGCCUUACCAAGGCAACGACGCGUAGACGACCUGAUAGGGUGCUCGCCCCCACCAGAAGUGACACACGUUCCAGACUCCUACGGGAGCCAGGAGUAGGUAUUCUCCGGAAAAGUGAGAAAGCUUGACGGACCAACGUCGCUAGAGUGAUGGAGGUCUUCGGAUCGUAAAACUCUGUUAUUAGGGAAGAACAAAUGGGUAAGUAACUAUGCACGUCUAGACGGUACGUAAUCAGAAAGCCACGCCUAACUACGU